UNGGAGAGGAAAGUGGAAUUCCUAGUGUAGCGGUGAAAUGCGUAGAUAUUAGGAAGAACACCAGUGGCGAAGGCGACUUUCUGGACGAAAACUGACGCUGAGGCGCGAAAGCCAGGGGAGCGAACGGGAUUAGAUACCCCGGUAGUCCUGGCCGUAAACGAUGGGUACUAGGUGUAGGAGGUAUCGACCCCUUCUGUGCCGGAGUUAACGCAAUAAGUACCCCGCCUGGGGAGUACGACCGCAAGGUUGAAACUCAAAGGAAUUGGCGGGGGCCCGCACAAGCGGUGGAGUAUGUGGUUUAAUUCGACGCAACGCGAAGAACCUUACCAGGUCUUGACAUUGAUGGACAGAACCAGAGAUGGUUCCUCUUCUUCGGAAGCCAGAAAACAGGUGGUGCACGGUUGUCGUCAGCUCGUGUCGUGAGAUGUUGGGUUAAGUCCCGCAACGAGCGCAAUCCCUAUCUUAUGUUGCCAGCACUUUGGGUGGGGACUCAUGAGAGACUGCCGCAGACAAUGCGGAGGAAGGCGGGGAUGACGUCAAAUCAUCAUGCCCCUUAUGACCUGGGCUACACACGUACUACAAUGGGAGUUAAUAGACGGAAGCGAGAUCGCGAGAUGGAGCAAACCCGAGAAACACUCUCUCAGUUCGGAUCGUAGGCUGCAACUCGCCUACGUGAAGUCGGAAUCGCUAGUAAUCGCAGGUCAGCAUACUGCGGUGAAUACGUUCCCGGGCCUUGUACACACCGCCCGUCACACCACGAAAGUCGGAAGUGCCCAAAGCCGGUGGGGUAACCUUCGGGAGCCAGCCGUC
This 810-nucleotide ribosomal RNA is filed under the name uncultured bacterium. RNAcentral's name for it is "bacterial SSU rRNA". It matches the Rfam family "Bacterial small subunit ribosomal RNA", at positions 649 to 1457 of the family's 1533-position model. The record is from RNAcentral.